UUAUUUAUUUAUUUUAUAUAACUCCAACUUUGUAUAUGUUUUUUAAACUUCAAUGCCGGAUUUCAUGCAAACAUGAAGGCUGCUAGCUCAGGUGAAAUAAUGGCGACAGCAGUUAAUUGGCAUGAGCAUAUACCUGACCCAUUCGCGGCGGAAGCCAUUGCAGGCUUGGAAGCUGGGAGAGUUGCGGCGGAGUUGGGUUUUCGGAAUGUGAUGCUUGAAGGAGAUUCUCUUACGGUUGUCAAGAAGAUUACAUGCCAAGUUGCAGACAGAUCGGUGGUGAGUGCAUAUAUAUGGGAUGCAAAACAGAUAGCAAGGGAAGAAAGUAGCACAUUUGCUUGCAAAAGAAGAUUUACCUAUUGGGUUGAGGAAGCUCCAUCAGAAGUAGAAGAGACUGCACAGUGCUCUA
This 406-nucleotide long non-coding RNA is filed under the name Gossypium barbadense (sea-island cotton). RNAcentral describes it as "long non-coding RNA (GBAR_LNC021382)". The record is from RNAcentral. Lineage: Eukaryota; Viridiplantae; Streptophyta; Magnoliopsida; Malvales; Malvaceae.